Molecule: ribosomal RNA, 254 nt
Filed under: uncultured bacterium
Lineage: Bacteria
Description: partial 16S ribosomal RNA
Rfam family: Bacterial small subunit ribosomal RNA
Source: RNAcentral
UACGUAGGGGGCGAGCGUUGUCCGGAUUUAUUGGGCGUAAAGAGCUCGUAGGCGGUUUGGUAAGUUGGAUGUGAAAUCUCCAGGCUCAACUUGGAGGGGUCAUUCGAUACUGCCAUGACUAGAGUUCGGUAGGGGAGUGUGGAAUUCCUGGUGGAGCGGUGAAAUGCGCAGAUAUCAGGAGGAACACCCGUAGCGAAGGCGGCAUUCUGGGCCGGAACUGACGCUGAGGAGCGAAAGCGUGGGGAGCGAACAGG